GACGAACGCUGGCGGCGUGCUUAACACAUGCAAGUCGAACGGAAAGGCCCUGCUUGCCGGGUGCUCGAGUGGCGAACGGGUGAGUAACACGUGGGUGAUCUGCCCCUUAUUUUGGGAUAAGCCUGGUAAACUGGGUCUAAUACUGGAUAGGACCAUGCUGUAGGUGGUGUGGUGGAAAGAUUAGUUUCGGUAAGGGGUGAGCUCGCGGCCUAUCAGCUCGUUGGUGGGGUAAUGGCCUACCAAGGCGUCGACGGGUAGCCGGCCUGAGAGGGUGGACGGCCAGAUUGGGACUGAGAUACGGGCCAGACUCCUACGAGAGGCAGCAGUGGGGAAGAUUGCACAAUGGGCGCAAGCCUGAUGCAGCGACGCCGCGUGGGGGAUGACGGCCUUCGGGUUGUAAACUCCUUUCAGCCAUGACGAAGCCCUUGUGGUGACGGUAGUGGUAGAAGAAGCACCGGCUAACUACGUG
Molecule: ribosomal RNA, 469 nt
Filed under: uncultured bacterium
Lineage: Bacteria
Description: partial 16S ribosomal RNA
Rfam family: Bacterial small subunit ribosomal RNA
Source: RNAcentral